Clupea harengus (Atlantic herring) is the source of this 1197-nucleotide long non-coding RNA. RefSeq lists it as uncharacterized. Lineage: Eukaryota; Metazoa; Chordata; Actinopteri; Clupeiformes; Clupeidae. The record is from RefSeq and is a predicted model, not a curated record.
AAGAUGAUCUUUCCCCUGUCACAGCUCACCACGAACAGGAAACCAUCUGCAGCCUAGGCAGCAAAUAAACACAAGAUGGAGAGCUUGCCAGUGUGCAAGAAAACAUAUUUACCAUGUGCCACCAGUUUCUAAUCAUAGUCUCUAAUCAUAGGCUAUUCUAUACUACUAUUCUACACAAAGGCUGGCAGUCUUCGUCACUUUAACACUAAACAAUAUGUCAUGAAUACAAUGGUCUGUUGGUGAAAAAAGAUAAUUUGCAAGUACCAGCUGAAAAAAGAGGAAUGUAAAGAGACCUUUAAGGUCACAAGUGCUCUGUAAUUGUAGCUAAAUUAAAGAUUUGCAAUUGGAGAAUAAAUGGGAAGGGUGUACUUGCACUAAAGGCAAAGAUUGAAAGGUGAUGGCCUCUAUUGUUGGAAUUUGAAAAUGUUGAGAAGGACAGGUCUUAGUUUAGAAAUACCAAGGCAUACCGGUCACAUACCCUCAUCAAGGAUUAUAGGUCAAAGUAAAAAGGUCGCUUAACAGCAAACAAGAGAGGGACAAGUGGGAAGAACAAACAAAGAUUGCUAGAAGGGAUUCUGGGAUGACGAUAACAAUUUGGUGCGAACUACACAUCCAGACUCACUGAACAUCACAGAAGUCAUAGAAGUUGUCGGCAGACAAUUAAUGGAAGGGUAAACGAUCGGUAUACCCAGAAGUAAUAUUAAUUAAUGAUUGGUUAAGAUUAGUCACCUGACCUGAUCCAUUUCCAAUUAAAGAAAAAUUAAUGCAUGAUUGGUUAAUACCAGGAGCUUUACUUUUUUGUUGAGUAACGGUGUCGAUUGCCUGAUUUUUAAAGGAUCGUAUUUUGUUUUGUAUGUUUUGCAUUGCGCAAAUCUCACGGUCGAUAAGUACAGACACUUUAUUACAUGAGCAGCAAGAUGCCUGGACGUUGAAGGCAGAAAUGAAGGCUUGGGAUGGGCUUCAGAAAAAGAACUUGUAGUCCCUGAAAGAGAUGAUGGCAACGCAACAUGAAAACACAGUCAGCUGCUCCUGGAUCUCUUCUUCUCCUCCACCGACAUCAAAGAGGUGGAGAAGGACCCUGUGAACCCCUCCCCCCUAGCACACUUACAAGCUCCUGCCCUUCCCCUUCCGUUUCCGUGACAAGUCCAUACAGGAGAUGGAGGAGGAGGAGGAGGAGGAGGAAGGGGCAGCUGGCUC